RNAcentral lists this ribosomal RNA (408 nucleotides) under uncultured Methanosaeta sp. RNAcentral describes it as "bacterial SSU rRNA". It matches the Rfam family "Archaeal small subunit ribosomal RNA", at positions 931 to 1338 of the family's 1478-position model. The record is from RNAcentral. Lineage: Archaea; Methanobacteriati; Methanobacteriota; Methanomicrobia; Methanotrichales; Methanotrichaceae.
CCGGGGCGACAGCAAUAUGAAGGUCAGGCUGAAGACCUUACCCGAUUAGCUGAGAGGUGGUGCAUGGCCGUCGUCAGUUCGUACUGUGAAGCAUCCUGUUAAGUCAGGCAACGAGCGAGACCCACGUCCACAGUUGCCAGCAUACCCUCCGGGGUGAUGGGUACACUGUGGAGACCGCCGCUGCUAAAGCGGAGGAAGGAGUGGGCAACGGUAGGUCAGUAUGCCCCGAAUCUCCCGGGCUACACGCGGGCUACAAUGGUUGGUACAAUGGGCAUCUACCCCGAAAGGGGAAGGAAAUCUCUUAAAGCCAAUCGUAGUUCGGAUUGAGGGCUGCAACUCGCCCUCAUGAAGCUGGAAUCCGUAGUAAUCGCGUUUCAACAGAACGCGGUGAAUACGUCCCUGCUCCUU